AGCCAGCGUGGCGUAGUGGUUUGAGCACUGGACUAGGACUCUGGAGAACAGGGUUCAAUUCCCAGCUUGGCUA
This is a non-coding RNA of Phrynosoma platyrhinos (Desert horned lizard), 73 nucleotides long. NCBI's taxonomy places the organism in Eukaryota, Metazoa, Chordata, Lepidosauria, Squamata, Phrynosomatidae. The record is from the annotation of a GenBank genome assembly.